AGAGUUUGAUCCUGGCUCAGGACGAACGCUGGCGGCGUGCUUAACACAUGCAAGUCGAACGGUGACGAAUGGUGCUUGCACUGUUCUGAUCAGUGGCGAACGGGUGAGCAACACGUGAGUAACCUGCCCCAGACUCUGGAAUAACCCCGGGAAACCGGAGCUAAUACCGGAUAUGAAGUAGAGCUGCAUGGCUACUACUUGGAAAGUUUUUCGGUCUGGGAUGGACUCGCGGCCUAUCAGCUUGUUGGUGAGGUAAUGGCUCACCAAGGCGACGACGGGUAGCCGGCCUGAGAGGGCGACCGGCCACACUGGGACUGAGACACGGCCCAGACUCCUACGGGAGGCAGCAGUGGGGAAUAUUGCACAAUGGGCGAAAGCCUGAUGCAGCGACGCCGCGUGAGGGAUGAAGGCCUUCGGGUUGUAAACCUCUUUCAGCAGGGAAGAAGCGAAAGUGACGGUACCUGCAGAAGAAGCACCGGCUAACUACGUGCCAGCAGCCGCGGUAAUACGUAGGGUGCGAGCGUUGUCCGGAAUUAUUGGGCGUAAAGAGCUUGUAGGCGGUUUGUCGCGUCUGCCGUGAAAAUCCGAGGCUCAACCUCGGACUUGCGGUGGGUACGGGCAGACUAGAGUGUGGUAGGGGAGACUGGAAUUCCUGGUGUAGCGGUGAAAUGCGCAGAUAUCAGGAGGAACACCGAUGGCGAAGGCAGGUCUCUGGGCCGCUACUGACGCUGAGAAGCGAAAGCGUGGGGAGCGAACAGGAUUAGAUACCCUGGUAGUCCACGCCGUAACCGUUGGGAACUAGGUGUGGGUCUCAUUCCACGAGAUCUGUGCCGCAGCUAACGCAUUAAGUUCCCCGCCUGGGGAGUACGGCCGCAAGGCUAAAACUCAAAGAAUUGACGGGGGCCCGCACAAGCGGCGGAGCAUGUGGAUUAAUUCGAUCCACGCGAAGAACCUUACCAAGGCUUGACAUAUACCGGAAACAUCCAGAGAUGGGUGCCCCGCAAGGUCGGUAUACAGGUGGUGCAUGGUUGUCGUCAGCUCGUGUCGUGAGAUGUUGGGUUAAGUCCCGCAACGAGCGCAACCCUCGUUCUAUGUUGCCAGCAACAUCUUCGGAUGGUUGGGGACUCAUAGGAGACUGCCGGGGUCAACUCGGAGGAAGGUGGGGAUGACGUCAAAUCAUCAUGCCCCUUAUGUCUUGGGCUUCACACAUGCUACAAUGGCCGGUACAAAGGGCUGCGAAACCGCGAGGUGGAGCGAAUCCCAAAAAACCGGUCUCAGUUCGGAUUGGGGUCUGCAACUCGACCCCAUGAAGUCGGAGUCGCUAGUAAUCGCAGAUCAGCAACGCUGCGGUGAAUACGUUCCCGGGCCUUGUACACACCGCCCGUCAAGUCACGAAAGUCGGUAACACCCGAAGCCGGUGGCCCAACCCCUUGUGGGAGGGAGCCGUCGAAGGUGGGACUGGCGAUUGGGACUAAGUCGGAACAAGGUA
This 1489-nucleotide ribosomal RNA is filed under the name metagenome. RNAcentral's name for it is "bacterial SSU rRNA". It matches the Rfam family "Bacterial small subunit ribosomal RNA". The record is from RNAcentral.